RNAcentral lists this ribosomal RNA (394 nucleotides) under uncultured bacterium. RNAcentral's name for it is "partial 16S ribosomal RNA". It matches the Rfam family "Bacterial small subunit ribosomal RNA", at positions 338 to 729 of the family's 1533-position model. The record is from RNAcentral.
CCUACGGGUGGCAGCAGUGAGGAAUAUUGGUCAAUGGACGCAAGUCUGAACCAGCCAUGCCGCGUGCAGGAUGACGGCCCUAUGAGUUGUAAACUGCUUUUGUACGAGGGUAAACUCAGAUAUGUGUACUUCUCUGCAUGUACCUUACGAAUAAGGAUCGGCUAACUCCGUGCCAGCAGCCGCGGUAAUACGGAGGAUCCAAGCGUUAUCCGGAUUUAUUGGGUUUAAAGGGUGCGUAGGCGGGUGGUUAAGUUAGUGGUGAAAUUCCGAGGCUCAACUUCGGAAUUGCCGUUGAUACUGUCAGGCUAGAGAAUAGUUGCGGUAGGCGGAAUGCAUGGUGUAGCGGUGAAAUGCUUAGAGAUCACACAGAACACCGAUUGCGAAGGCAGCUUGC